RNAcentral lists this ribosomal RNA (218 nucleotides) under Craugastor lauraster. RNAcentral describes it as "partial large subunit ribosomal RNA". It matches the Rfam family "Bacterial large subunit ribosomal RNA", at positions 1915 to 2134 of the family's 2925-position model. The record is from RNAcentral. Lineage: Eukaryota; Metazoa; Chordata; Amphibia; Anura; Craugastoridae.
GACCCAUGUUCAACGGCNGCGGUNUCNUAACCACGCGAAGGUAGCAUAAUCAAUUGUCUCCUAAAUAGAGACUUGUAUGAAUGGCAUCACGAGGAUUUAACUGUCUCCCCUCUCUAAUCUGUGAAACUAAUCCCCCUGUGAAAAAGCAGGACUGUCCCCAUAAGACGAGAAGACCCUGUGGAACUUUAAACACAUAGCAGCUGCUCCCCUCCACCCCA